RNAcentral lists this ribosomal RNA (807 nucleotides) under uncultured bacterium. RNAcentral describes it as "bacterial SSU rRNA". It matches the Rfam family "Bacterial small subunit ribosomal RNA", at positions 8 to 796 of the family's 1533-position model. The record is from RNAcentral.
AGAGUUUGAUCCUGGCUCAGGACGAACGCUGGCGGCGUGCCUAAUACAUGCAAGUCGAACGCACUGACGGAGAACUUGUUCUCUUGACGUGAGUGGCGCACGGGUGAGUAACACGUGGGAAACCUACCCUUCAGCGGGGGAUAACCAUCGGAAACGAUGACUAAUACCGCAUAGACGACAGAACCGCCUGGUUCAAUCGGGAAAGACGGCUUCGGCUGUCACUGAAGGAUGGUCCCGCGCUGCAUUAGCUAGUUGGUAAGGUAACGGCUUACCAAGGCGAUGAUGCAUAGCCGACCUGAGAGGGUGAUCGGCCACAUUGGGACUGAGACACGGCCCAAACUCCUACGGGAGGCAGCAGUAGGGAAUCUUCCGCAAUGGACGCAAGUCUGACGGAGCAACGCCGCGUGUGUGAAGAAGGUUUUCGGAUCGUAAAGCACUGUUAUUAGAGAAGAACAGCCGAUAGAGUAACUGUUAUCGGUUUGACGGUAUCUAACCAGAAAGUGACGGCUAACUACGUGCCAGCAGCCGCGGUAAUACGUAGGUCACAAGCGUUGUCCGGAUUUAUUGGGCGUAAAGGGAGCGCAGGCGGUUUGUUAAGUCUGAUGUGAAAGCCCACGGCUCAACCGUGGAACGGCAUUGGAAACUGGCAAACUUGAGUAUAGAAGAGGAAAGUGGAAUUCCAUGUGUAGCGGUGAAAUGCGUAGAUAUAUGGAGGAACACCAGUGGCGAAGGCGACUUUCUGGUCUAUAACUGACGCUGAGGCUCGAAAGCGUGGGGAGCGAACAGGAUUAGAUACCCUGGUAGUCC